GAGCCCCGCAAAGCAGCUGCAGCUGCUCGACAGGCACACGCGGACUUAGUGCCACGCUGGUUGUGGGAUGUGCCGCUCACCAAAGGCAAAGUUCUUUUCCUGGUGCUGGCCUCCCGACAAGGGGCAACAGUCGUGGGCCAGCCAGCGUAGGUUCCCCUUCCCACCACCCAAACUACCCUCACAAAUGGCCCGAGAGUGUUGCGACUGUCUUGACUCGAGACCUUCUGACUCACUGUGGUCAAAACACUUCCCCUAUGAUCUUGUCACUGCUCCAACGGGCUGUGGGAAGGAGCGGGAGGGGGGGGGGCAGCAGCUGAGCUUGCCCUCCCGAGAACCCUCGCAUCCAAUCGACCCCUAGCCUCACUCCCACCGGCGCUCCUGUGCGCUCUCCGAGGAAUCUCUGGAGACAAGGCCUCUCUUUGUACCCCCUUCCUUCCCUCCAGCCCACACUCAGCCUGAGAGCUCUUGGAGGGAUUUCUCACGCUGCGACCGGAAAAAGUGAAGAGUGUGGGGGAUGGGUUGCUUUCGGUAGGGGAGGGGGCUAGGUAGGUCAGGCAUGGAAGUGGGGAUCGGUCCUUGUGGGCUGAUCUCUCAUCCCCUAGCAGCCCCUCCAUUGCCCGCGCGGCAGGAGGAGGCAAAGGAUGCCCACCUCGGGUCACUAGGACACGAGUGGAUAGGUCUUCAGAAAGGGCAGAAGUCCCUCUUGGAAGUGGGAGUCUCGGAGGUUGGAGGGUCCUCUGCUAAAGGAAAUAAGAGGUACCCAGCUUGGAAAUACCAGCACAAAGGACGUGCCAUGGGUGGAGCGUCUAAAGGGAUGGAGAGCUAGCUGGACCUUGGGGCAGCGGGGCCGAGGAGCUCCCCACACUCCAGACAGCAAAGUCUGCACAAUGGGGCUGGUCUGGGCAGGGCCGGCACGGGGACCCGCCAAAUCAGCCAGGCGUGGCUCCCUAGCCUGCACCAGCCCAUUUCUCCGGAAGCGCUCCCCACCCCCAUCCUCCCCCUCACCCCCAGCCCAGCGGUCCCGAGGAAGCACAGCUAGGACCGCUGGACUACUUACCCGGCGGUUCUGGGGCUGGAAGAGCCGCUUCCUGUCGGAAGGGUGUCCCGGGGCUAGGGCGGAGGAAGGGGUGGCGCGCGGAACGGAGCCGGGGAGUUCUAAGGGGUCUGGACCGCAGCGCCAGCGCAGAACACAGCGGAAGGCUUCUCCGCACUUCAUUACCCCGCAGUCCUCCCCUUGGGACAGCCCUGGGCCCCGCCCAUGCCUGCAGGGUGGUGCUGCAGGGCGUGGCUCCGCUUACACCCCGGGCUGCUGGGGGCCUCCAAAAGGUCUGGUCUGGCAGGGACAGGGAAAGCAAGGCCCCUGAGUGACCGUGCCUGAGUGCGCCCCGGUGGUACCAAGCUGCCAGCCACUUCCGAGAGCAGGCUGAGCGGCCGCUAGCCUCCUGCAAGAAGUUUGUUGAAGCUGCAGGGUCCGAGAGUGGCGCCAGAUGUCUGAGCUCUCUACAUCUCUCCCACCAAGAAAUCCACACCCCUGGCGCCACUGAGGAUCCAGUUGCGGGGUCCAUCUCUCCUGGGACAGGUCAGCCGGCUCAAUGGCUCAGGCUAAGGACAAAGCUUAAAAGUUCUGGUCCGCAUCUUUCAACCAGUGGGUGAAUCCACUUCUAGUCCAGACCUUUGAGGCAGGAAGGCAUGCCCCUUCGACCUGGAUCUUGAGGCAGGAAGCCAUACCUUUCAUCUGGGCCACACCUUCUGCCAGAAGCCUAUGUAGGACAUGGAAGAAGGAAGGUUUGCUUUGCCCGCUUGCCCUCACCUUGCCAGCACAUCCCUCCUUCACUGGCAUUGGAGCCGACUUCUUCAGGAUUCCAGCAUAUACAGGAGACCAGCUGAGACAUGUAGCUGAUGUCUGAGACUGAGCAACUUCUGGAUUCUUGGACCUUCCAUUCAUAGCCUGCCAUUGUUGGAUUAGUUGGACUGUAGCAUCUGUUCAGAUGAUACAGUCAAAGCUGGGACUGGAUCUCAUGCUGGAAACGGUCUGGGAGGGCUUAUAAUGUGGCCAGAUCAACCAAGAAACCGGACUUGACUUUUCAAAGUUAAACGUAAGUAUUUCUUUCAGUGAUUGAAAACCGUUGUCUGAACUACAUGAUAGAUGAAUCUAGGUUUUUAACCUAUAAAUCGUAUGAAAUCUAAAUGCAAAUCAAAUACUACUAGCAAACAUUGUUGUCAAAAUUGAGAUAUACGGCAAGUAUGAAAUAUACAACCAAUUUUGAGGAUUUUGUAUCAAGGGAGGAUGUAAAAUCUCAUUAAUAUAUUUUAAUAUUCAUUACUUGUUGAAAUGUUUGGCAAUAAAUGUUCUAGUCACAUUCUGUUACUGUGUCAAACACCAUGACCAAAGCAACUUGGGGGAAGAAAGGGUUCCUUUGGCUUUUACUUUAAGUCAUGAUCCAUCACCGAGGGAAGGCAGAGCAGGCGCUCAGGCAGGAGCUGUGGAGGAAGCCGGCCUGCCAGCGUGCUCAAUGACUUCCUCACCGGCUCACGGCUAGCUAGCUUUGUAACAGCCCACCAUGGGCCGGGCCCUCGUACAUCCGUUAGUGAUCAAGACAAUUCGUCACAGGUGUGUGCCCACAGACCCGCUUGAUCUAGGCAACCCCGCAAUUGCUUCUCACAUGACUCAGUGGAGGCAGUGUUGACAAUUAAGGCUGACCAGGACAGUAGAUUAAAUAACUUUAAGAUUAAUUUCACCUCUUGUUACAUGUGGCUUUUGAAUAUUUUAAUAUUUAAUAUUCCUUGUGUCUUGUACCUCUUUUAUCCCCCCCC
Peromyscus eremicus (cactus mouse) is the source of this 2814-nucleotide long non-coding RNA. RefSeq lists it as uncharacterized. The transcript is spliced from 3 exons. The record is from RefSeq and is a predicted model, not a curated record. NCBI's taxonomy places the organism in Eukaryota, Metazoa, Chordata, Mammalia, Rodentia, Cricetidae.